Long non-coding RNA from Leptopilina boulardi, 679 nucleotides. RefSeq lists it as uncharacterized. The record is from RefSeq and is a predicted model, not a curated record. Lineage: Eukaryota; Metazoa; Arthropoda; Insecta; Hymenoptera; Figitidae. The transcript has 3 exons.
CCCUUUUCAGGAUCAGCAGAAGCGUCUUUUAAAUAGAAAAUUCAGCCUCUUCGCCUUCGGGAACAAUGACUUUUCCUCCUUGCCAUGAAGAUUCUACAAGAUUGCACUUCGAUUCAAGAGAUUUCGAUUUACUUGCUGAACAAAGAGAAAUUAACGAGCGACAAGUAGGUAUUUUUCUCAGCGGUUUUUACCCUUUACCUAACUAUAUAAUAUGUUCGCUACGUUCAAAAUUCUUCUUCCAAUUAAUUCAAGAAAAAAUAUUGGAAAUAAUUUCAUCACUGGAGAUAUGUAUAAAGGUUUUUCGCAAGUGUUCAAAUUUCAUAACAUUCGCGAUCGUUUAACUAUAUAUUUUUAAAAUUCGGUUUCUAUUUUGUUUCGGGAGUGUUCGAAUAUUUUUAAAACCGCGAUCGUUUGAUAAAAUCACGUCAAGUAUUUCUUUAUUGCAACUUUUAUUUCGAGAGUGUUUUGAGUAUUUUAAAAUCGUUAAAUAGUGGAAAAUUCUGUUUUUUUAAUUUAAAUUUUUGUGAAAUUACGCGAGUGUUUGUAUUUACGUUGUUUUGGUGCAUUAUAUCGGAGGGUAGCUUCAGGAUGAAGAUCGUAUAUAUCAGGUGUUUGCUACUUCAAGAAAUGGUGUUUGUUGCAGAGCUACUUCUGGAGGAGAUUUGGUAUAAAUUUCAUU